GUCUCACCUCCCACUCCUUCCCUAAAAGCGACCAAAGAUUCCCAGCACCUCUUUUUCCCGGGCUGGGAGACCAAAAGCCAAAGGGAGGACCAAGGAAAGGCCAAAAUUCCGCAUGGAGGCUCCCGCCUGGCCUCCCAUCAGUGGGAGCUGCUGUGACAAGGGAGGCUCCUGGCACAGCCUGGCAGUGGCAACACCUCCGUGGGGCAUUUGCCUGGAAAAAUACAUGGGUUUAGUGCUUGUUUACAUGGACUUGCCGGGAAAAGCAGGUUUUGUUAUGUUAACAUCAGUAUGUUGUUAGGAGACAGAAUUUUUCACCCAUCUUAAGGCUUUUUAUUGCUCCCUAUCUGGAGUUUCUGAAUACAUUCCCUACAUGAUGGAUUGGCAGGAGAUUUUUGUGGAGUUUCUGGCUCUAUUAUCCAGCAGUGAACUCUCACAGAAAGUAAUUUGAAAUUCAUGAUGCUGACUAUCAUAUCAGGAUGUGGCUCUGUGAGCUAUGUUUCUUCAGAUCACUUUUCUUCUGUUAUGAAUAAAAAAACUUACCAGCGGAAAGAAAAUGUUUGUAGGAAUAAAUAUUCUUGGAAUGGACUAAAUUAAUGACUAAAAGUGAUCAGUGCAGUUCAACUGUAAGCUGCUCACAAAUAAGUUGCCACAAAGUGAAAUAGUUAUCGUUGUUUCUGUGAAAUAUAUCUAAUUGGGCUCUUGUUAGAAUAGGAAUGCCUAAAUUGUAUAGCUCAUUGGAAUGAAAUCCAAAUCCCAUCUUCAUCACAUUCUGCAUUAUCUUGCAUUUCAUAUGCUCUGUAUUUUUACUACAAAACUAUCUAAAUAUUCUAAAUAUCUAAAAAGACUUAAUAAUAAAGUAAAAAUCUUUUCAUUUGAAAACAGGCCACAGAAAAUCCUCACCUCACAAAUAUUUGCUUCUGUUCUCGCUCAUAAGCAAUGCCAUUUGUUUUAAAUCUUUGUGGUAAGUGCUGAAAGCUGAGCAGGUCUAUGCAAUCCAUUUGCAAACUUGAGCCCUAAAGAAAGAAGUACAGAAGCAGAAGUUUUUUUACUGAUAAACUUUAGAUUCCUCUAAACCAACUUCAGAACUCUUUUGUUAAUGUAAAUGAAAAUUUCAGUUGUUUUAUUACAUUGUAUAAGGGGCUUUAUAUGAUAUCUGGAUAGGUUUUGGAGUCAAGAAACUACAAAAUGGUACAGAAAAAUACAUCAAAAACAUCUGAAGCCUGAGAAAUUGUGGAACACCUUUGAAAUACCCAAAAGAUAAGGGCUGCUCCGACUUCUUUCUGGACUCUCAUUACGUCACUGCUGGAAAGAGCUCAGUGAAUAAUCUGAUCAGGUUUUCCAUUGAAUUCCACUUCCUUGCUUUGCUGGCUCAAAAGGAUGGGCAGCAAGUGGGGAUUCAUGCCAAGGCAGGAUGGGGCACAGGAAUGCCGCUGAAUGCAUGUGGGAUCAUCCUUAGCCCACUCCAAAUCCUUGGAACACAUUCUUAAGGCACCGACCAACAAAAUGCCAAUGUGAAAAUGUGGGAAGUGGCUGAUGAAGAGCACCUGUGCAGAAUGCCUGGAUUUGGAGCUGAGGAGGCUGAAAUGGGCUCCUGUGCACUGGGAAGCAGGACUGGAGCUGCUGCAUCCAUGGGAUUGUUCUGGCAGCUCCUCUGGGUCGGGCUGGUCCACGCAGGGUGUCCUUUGUGCCCAUCCCUGCCACAGUAAGUGAUAUUUAAUCUGUGCACACUGGGGAGCAGGGCUGUGCCCAAGGGUACUGAAGCAGUUGCACAGCAUUGCAAACAUCCCCAAAUGUUUUCCCUCUCUCUUUUGAGCCUGUGGGAUCAGCCCAUGAAGAACAGACAGCAGAAAGGAACACACCUCUCCCUUUACUCUCCAUCUGGGUGCUCACUCUCAGUUUGUGUCCAUCACAACACAUCACCCUGACACAUGCAAAGGAAAACAUGACGUGCUUUUCCCACAUUUAUAAAGUUUUCUUUAUGAACAUGGAGCUAUUUCUAUCCAUGGACAUGCAGCAAGGUUUAGAGGCUCAGGUUAUUUUCCUGGAUUUACCUCAGUCCUGCACAAGGCCCUGACCAGAGUUACAACUCCAUGGCUCCUCAAUUACAGUGGGAUGGAGAAUGUGUCCUUAUCAAUCUUCUGAGAUUUCAGCAUUUAUUUGUACUUGUUCACUCAGAAUCUGCCUGUUCUGAAGUUCAGACUAACGAGUUCAGUUCUCUGAAAAGGAGCAGAUUCCAUCCUAUUGAUUUCAGUUCUUUGUGGCAACUAGCCCUGUAACAUUGAUUUCUGACAAAGCACUGAGCUGAAUAAUGGAUGUUGGCACCCUCAGUUCUGGCUGAAGUCUUGGGCUUACUGAUAGAAAUCUCUCCAAGUCAGGAGACCUUUUUUUCCUUUCCAAAUGGAUGGAUAUGUGUAGGUAGGGACUUCAAAUAUUUAAUCCAAAUAGGCUGUUUAGAACUAGCCAGGAGGAGUCACUGAGCACCUGCCAGGCUCAGAACAUGCAGAGCUGAACUGGCAACAUUUAAGAUGAAUCUAAGGGAGAUUCAGGCACCAGAAGGGAUGAUGAAAAUAAAUAUCUGUAUUUCUUUAGAAGAGCCAUGUAUUUUAAAAAAUCCUCCAACAAGUGAUGCCAUGUUAGAAAUGCUGCUGCAAUGAGAUUUUAUGUCCUAUCCUAGUGGUUACAAUCUUCACUCUGUGGAAUGGGACAUUUGUAUUUAAUUCUCCUUACUGCAGCAAUGAAAGUUUCUCCAUGGGAAGAGCUCCUCAAGCUUUGUUGCUGUGCAGAAUUAGGGCAAAAUGUGUAAAGAGGAGGACAGUGCUGAUGCAACCCAAGGGUGUCUUCCUGGGAGGCAGUUUCUAUGGUUCUACCACACCUGAUUGCCAUACAGCCCUGGCUGUACCCUGCUGUAGAGCUUUUUAUAUUAGAGUUGAAAACUCAAGUUUCACAUUUCACAGAACACAGUAACCACAAGGCUACAAAGCCACACUUCUUUUAAUCUCUCAAGUGUGUGUAGCUUUCUUUUUCAUUAAAAUAAAGUAGAUUUAAGAGAUGGAGUGUCUGCCUCUUCCUUCCAAUCCAUCCAGGGAUGGAGCAUUGAUUAUGAUGAUAGUGAAAGACACAAUUUCCAUGUAGAGAAACCAUAUGUGGUUCUCUGCUGGUUUGUGAAAUUUGAGUAUUGCACAAGAACUCAGAAAUUCCUUGCACAAUCUGGGCUGGUAACAGCAUUGCAGAGAACUUGUAGUUUAAAUCUUCUGAAUAUUGGAAGGCUUUGAGAUAGAAAUGUCUUGUCACAAAUCGUUUGCCUUGGGUUUUGAGUUUAGUCCAGGUGAGAUCAGUAGAGAUGCAUAACCCUGUUGCCAUCCCCUGCCCUUCACCAUGGAAAGCAGAGUGGGAGCAGCUGGUGGCGUUUGGAGUGUCACCUGUGUGGGACAGGGCUGAGCUUUCCUUUUAGAAAGCUGAGGGAGCAAAGCAUGUGGUCUCUUGUGGAGGUCUGUCCAUGAAGAAAGGAUCUCCCUCAGGGAAAUAAAUAACAAAGCAAGGAGUUAAAGUCCCUUAACAAGGGAAAGCAGUCUCUUGUGCAAUCUUUAUGAAGACCAGAUACAACCUGAGGAAGGUCAGAUUUUACCCACACUUCAGCACAAUUUGGCAAAUCAGAUACUGGAGUCAUCCCCCAGAAUAAACUGAAAUACCUGAAGAGAUCCAAGAUUUUCUACAAGUGUGAAGUAUAAUGAUUCCAAAAGCAUUGAUUCUCUGCACAUCAGUACAGGUUAAAUACCGAUGUGACCCCAGGACAUCCUAUUUUCACUAGUUCUAUCCAUUUUAAUUUCAUGUAUCUGCUCCCAGAUUAUGCCUUUGACAGGUAAAGGAGCUGUGGAACACAGAUUAACUUGGCAUGUGUGAUGUUUCUGGAAGCUGCAGCACCACCAGGAGAGAGGGAAGGGGCUGUGCCCAGGCUGCAGCUCCAUCCGGAACAUGGUUGGGAUGGAUCCCUGUGGCAUGGUGUCCUAGGUUGGGGCAAACCAGAGCACACCAAGUUUAGGUCAUAAUGUCCUGAGGAAGAGCUCUUGGUACAACAAGGGAAUGUUAAAAUGUGUGAAUCCUCCUGUGAGAGAGCCCAGUGUGGCAACAGGAAUGCUGGCUCAGGACAUUUGGGAUCUUUAACAACUCUUCCCUUGAGUGCUGUGAGUUUUAAAAAAUAAUUAAAAGCCAGCUUUGAUCUGUGCAUCCUUAAUGACUAAAGGAUAGAAAAGAUAUCAAACAAUGUUACUUGACUCACAGAGCAGGGAAGAUUUUCCUGUAGCUGGAGCUGGGUAACUUGGAAAGAUCUUUGUUUUUAAUGGUAACAGCAGCAAUUCAUUUAAGCUGCUUAUUGUGCUCUGGUGUUAUUCCUGUAAAUAUAGCAGGGAGAAUGUGUUAAAUGUUGAAAAGUCUCAUCAGGAAAGGAAUCCUGUGGGAUCUGAAGCCUUCCUUGCCUGUUGCACACUCGAAGCACACAUUGAAAUGGGGUUUCCAGCCUGAACACGCGUUCCAGACACUCAGAGUUCUGGAAAUGCCGCAGCGCACUUCCUGCUCCCAAACAUACCUCACUAAAGUUGGCUCAAGAUGUUUUGGCAGGAUUGCUUUAACCUCAGAGAAGUCUGAAUUUGGCUUUGAAGGAUGAAAGAGAUGGAAAUGGAAAGGUUUCAGAAAAUGGUGAGGGCUUCUUAUGUUCUUAAUCAGCUGAAUGCUGCAUGUGGUGGUUAAUGCUUUUGAUUUUUUGGCUUUCCCCUUUUGUCCCUGUUCCUUACAGAAUGACAGACAACUCAUUCUGACAGGGAAAAGAAUGUUUCUAAAAAUCACUGUUCUAUGUAAUUUUAGCCACUGUUUGAAAAUUGCAUUCUGAAAAUUUUUAAAGUUCUUUUACAAACUUUUAUUUCCUAAACUGUGCUUUUUAACCAUUAAGAAGUGUUGAAGCAAAGAAUUCCUUGGAAUGCAAUAGUUUUGGAGUAGGCAGGAGAUGGAAACAUGUGAAGCAUUUUCAGAUUAAAUUCUCUGUUGACAGCUCCAAAUAUUUUCUUAAUUUGUGUGUUUUUGUGUGUUUAAACCGGAAUAUUUUAUAUAUUAUUUGGUUGUGAUUGUGUUGCUUUUGUUUGUGGCACCUAAUAGUGAUUAAAAAAAAACAAAAAACAAACCCUAAACCCUAUUUUUCUCAGUUUCUGUGAAGAUAAAGGUGAUUUAAAUAUAAUCUACCUUCUAAGUCAUGGUUAAGUGAUGAAUGUGUCUCAAGAGUGUGAGUAGCUCAUUAUUAGUAAUGGUUUGAAAUCUUUGUUCCAACUCAUAGAUCAUAACCCAUCCUGUUCCCCACCUUAUCUGACACCCCACUCCUGCCACAGGUUAGAAACUCUAUAUUAACAAAGAUAGGUCCUUCCGGCUCAGAAAUUCCUUUUACUUGUUGUAUUUCUGAAUUGGUUUCAUUUAGUUUUAUGUUAUUUUUCAAUUUAUGACCUUCUGUUCUGUUUCCUUCUAUGGCUGUGUCCCUGUAAGGCUUUGUCAGAACUUGCGUAGUGCUGGGUACACAGUGAGCACAUGUGGGCAGCACAGGAAGGAAAGGAAAAUAUAAAGAUAGUUGUAAUUUGAGGCAUAGUCUCUCAUAAAGAACUCUUGCAGCAAAGUUGAGAGGGGGACUGUAAAUAUCCCAUAGUUCUUUAUCCUGGUCUUGUCUUGCUUCUCAUACUCCUUUGCCUUGCCCCCACUCAUGUCUCAGCCUCACUAAAACUUCUUGUAAAUCAAACCCACAACAAAAGUUAAUUCCUCUGUCCAUGUUUCCUGCCUGAGGGCAGUGGCACCAAACAUGAUCUGUGAAAUAUCGUCAGCUUUUAGCUCCAUGGUAGGUCCAUGAGAUCAUCCUGGGGAGAAGCCAGGGAAUAUCUGUGAAGAGUCAGGGAGGUACUGACGAGUGAAAGAACACCCAGACGUGACAGAACUGCAAUAUGUGAGCCUGGAUUCCUCCUCCUUGGCUCGUGGAUGACUCCAAGCUGACAGAAGUUUCAUGGCAAAAGCUUUCAAGGAGAAACCAGCACAAGAGACAGCUCAGCUGCUGAGAAGCUGCAAGGGCACCUGGUGCAAAGGACAGAGAAUGGUCCAAAUGUAAGGAUCUGGUAAAUUUUCAAAAUAUUUUUAUUGUCUCCAGGCUCAUUAACUGUCAGCUAUUGUAAACAAGAGCUGUUGAUUGCUGAGUAUUUUCAAAAUCUGUCCAACAUGGUUUAGGUGCUCCAAUAAAGCCCUUUGAAAAUCCA
Long non-coding RNA from Passer domesticus (house sparrow), 6275 nucleotides. RefSeq lists it as uncharacterized. Lineage: Eukaryota; Metazoa; Chordata; Aves; Passeriformes; Passeridae. The transcript is spliced from 3 exons. The record is from RefSeq and is a predicted model, not a curated record.